RNAcentral lists this ribosomal RNA (458 nucleotides) under uncultured bacterium. RNAcentral describes it as "partial 16S ribosomal RNA". It matches the Rfam family "Bacterial small subunit ribosomal RNA", at positions 29 to 507 of the family's 1533-position model. The record is from RNAcentral.
AACGAACGCUGGCGGCAUGCCUAACACAUGCAAGUCGAACGAGACCUUCGGGUCUAGUGGCGCACGGGUGCGUAACGCGUGGGAACCUGCCCUUAGGUUCGGAAUAACUCCCCGAAAGGGGUGCUAAUACCGGAUAAUGUAUUCGGACCAAAGAUUUAUCGCCUUUGGGUGGGCCCGCGUUGGAUUCGCUAGUUGGUAGGGUAAAAGCCUACCAAGGCGACGAUCAAUAGCUGGUCUGAGAGGAUGAUCCGCCACAAUGGGACUGAGACACGGCCCAGACUCCUGCGGGAGGCAGCGGUGGGGAAUUUUGGAGAAUGGGCGAAUGGCUGAUCCAGAAAUGCCGCGUGUGUGCAGAAGGCCUUCGGGUUGUAAAGCACUUUUGUCCGGAAAGAAAUACUUGGCCCUAACACGGUCGGGGGAUGACGGUACCGGAAGAAUAAGCACCGGCUAACUACGUG